CACGUACUGUGCGAACGUUAUUCGGAAUCACUGGGCUUAAAGGGUGCGUAGGCGGUUUGUCAAGUCAGAUGUGAAAUGCCUGAGCUCAACUGAGGCACUGCGUUUGAAACUGACAGACUUGAGUAUUCCAGGGGUAUGCGGAACUGCCAGUGGAGCGGUGAAAUGCGUUGAUAUUGGCAGGAACACCAGUGGCGAAGGCGGCAUACUGGGGGAUAACUGACGCUGAGGCACGAAAGCCAGGGUAGCGAACGGGAUUAGAUACCCGCGUAGUCC
Molecule: ribosomal RNA, 273 nt
Filed under: uncultured bacterium
Lineage: Bacteria
Description: partial 16S ribosomal RNA
Rfam family: Bacterial small subunit ribosomal RNA
Source: RNAcentral